RNAcentral lists this ribosomal RNA (513 nucleotides) under uncultured bacterium. RNAcentral's name for it is "partial 16S ribosomal RNA". It matches the Rfam family "Bacterial small subunit ribosomal RNA", at positions 28 to 507 of the family's 1533-position model. The record is from RNAcentral.
GACGAACGCUGGCGGCGUGCUUAACACAUGCAAGUCGAACGAAAAGAGGGAAAGAGCUUGCUCUUUCCGGAAUUGAGUGGCAAACGGGUGAGUAACACGUAAACAACCUGCCUUCAGGAUGGGGACAACAGACGGAAACGACUGCUAAUACCGAAUAAGUUCCAAGGGCCGCAUGGCCCAUGGAAGAAAAGGUGGCCUCUACCUGUAAGCUAUCGCCUGAAGAGGGGUUUGCGUCUGAUUAGCUGGUUGGAGGGGUAACGGCCCACCAAGGCGACGAUCAGUAGCCGGUCUGAGAGGAUGAACGGCCACACUGGAACUGAGACACGGUCCAGACUCCUACGGGAGGCAGCAGUGGGGAAUCUUCCGCAAUGGGCGAAAGUCUGACGGAGCAACGCCGCGUGAGUGACGACGGCCUUCGGGUUGUAAAACUCUGUGAUCCGGGACGAAAAGGCAGAGUGCGAAGAACAAACUGCAUUGACGGUACCGGAAAAGCAAGCCACGGCUAACUACGUG